AGUGUGAGGUGGCUCUCUCCUCUCCUCUCCCUCACACAGCCUUCACUGCCUCCUCAGUCUUCACCAGUGGAUACGCUCCAGGCUACGCCAAGCUCAACCAGAGAGGAGGUGCAGGGGGCUGGUCUCCCCAGGACAGUGACAGCUACCCGUGGCUCCAGGUGGACCUGGGCAGCCGGAAACAGGUAGUUGCCGUGGCAACGCAGGGCAGGUACAGCAGCUCUGAUUGGACGACGAGGUACAGGCUGCUCUACAGCGACACGGGCAGGAACUGGAAGCCCUAUCAUCAGGAUGGAAACAUAUGGGCGUUCUCAGGCAACUCCAACACGGAGAGCGUGGUAAGACACGACCUGGCGCAAGGCAUUGUGGGCCGGUUGCUGCGUUUUGUACCGCUGGACUGGAGUGGAGAAGGACGCAUCGGCCUCCGCAUAGAGGUCUACGGCUGUUUC
Long non-coding RNA from Oncorhynchus kisutch (coho salmon), 446 nucleotides. RefSeq lists it as uncharacterized. The record is from RefSeq and is a predicted model, not a curated record. The transcript has 3 exons. Lineage: Eukaryota; Metazoa; Chordata; Actinopteri; Salmoniformes; Salmonidae.